This 475-nucleotide ribosomal RNA is filed under the name uncultured bacterium. Its description in RNAcentral is "bacterial SSU rRNA". It matches the Rfam family "Bacterial small subunit ribosomal RNA", at positions 1 to 499 of the family's 1533-position model. The record is from RNAcentral.
UUUAGAGUUUGAUCCUGGCUCAGGAUGAACGCUGGCGGCGUGCCUAACACAUGCAAGUCGGACGGGGCGGCCAUUUCGGUGGCUGCUCAGUGGCGCACGGGUGUCUAACACGUAGCCAACCUGCCCUCUUGUGGCGGAUAACGCCCCGAAAGGGGUGCUAAUACGGCAUGAGCUCCUCAGGGGUAGCGACUGGGGAGGAAAGCCUGCGGGCGCGAGAGGAGGGGGCUGCGGCCCAUCAGGCAGCUGGUAGGGUAACGGCCUACCAGGCCGACGACGGGUCGGGGGUCUGAGAGGAUGAUCCCCCACACUGGGACUGAGACACGGCCCAGACUCCUACGGGAGGCAGCAGUGAGGAAUCUUGCACAAUGGGGGCCACCCUGAUGCAGCGACGCCGCGUGGGCGAGGAAGGUCUUCGGAUAGUAAAGCCCUUUUCUGCGUGGCGAGCGAGGACGUAGCGCAGAAGAAGCUCGCAAUA